GACGAACGCUGGCGGCGUGCCUAAUACAUGCAAGUGGAACGAGAGCGACCGGUGCUUGCACUGGUCAAUCUAGUGGCGAACGGGUGAGUAACACGUGGGUAACCUGCCCAUCAGAGGGGGAUAACAUCCGGAAACGGAUGCUAAAACCGCAUAGGUCUUCGAGCCGCAUGGCUUGAAGAGGAAAAGAGGCGCAAGCUUCUGCUGAUGGAUGGACCCGCGGUGCAUUAGCUAGUUGGUGAGGUAACGGCUCACCAAGGCCGUGAUGCAUAGCCGACCUGAGAGGGUGAUCGGCCACAUUGGGACUGAGACACGGCCCAAACUCCUACGGGAGGCAGCAGUAGGGAAUCUUCCGCAAUGGACGCAAGUCUGACGGAGCAACGCCGCGUGAGUGAAGAAGGUUUUCGGAUCGUAAAACUCUGUUGUUAGAGAAGAACAAGUGCUAGAGUAACUGUUAGCGCCUUGACGGUAUCUAACCAGAAAGCCACGGCUAACUACGUG
This 498-nucleotide ribosomal RNA is filed under the name uncultured bacterium. RNAcentral's name for it is "partial 16S ribosomal RNA". It matches the Rfam family "Bacterial small subunit ribosomal RNA", at positions 28 to 507 of the family's 1533-position model. The record is from RNAcentral.